Molecule: ribosomal RNA, 253 nt
Filed under: uncultured bacterium
Lineage: Bacteria
Also listed under: 1 other name
Description: partial 16S ribosomal RNA
Rfam family: Bacterial small subunit ribosomal RNA
Source: RNAcentral
UACGAAGGGGGCUAGCGUUGCUCGGAAUUACUGGGCGUAAAGGGCGCGUAGGCGGCGGCCCAAGUCAGGCGUGAAAUUCCUGGGCUCAACCUGGGGACUGCGCUUGAUACUGGGUUGCUUGAGGAUGGAAGAGGCUCGUGGAAUUCCCAGUGUAGAGGUGAAAUUCGUAGAUAUUGGGAAGAACACCGGUGGCGAAGGCGGCGAGCUGGUCCAUUACUGACGCUGAGGCGCGACAGCGUGGGGAGCAAACAGG